Transfer RNA from Metarhizium acridum CQMa 102, 93 nucleotides. It matches the Rfam family "tRNA". From Rfam's summary of the family: Transfer RNA (tRNA) molecules are approximately 80 nucleotides in length. Their secondary structure includes four short double-helical elements and three loops (D, anti-codon, and T loops). The record is from Rfam. Lineage: Eukaryota; Fungi; Ascomycota; Sordariomycetes; Hypocreales; Clavicipitaceae.
CUCCGGGUAGUCUAGUUGGUUUAUGGCGUCUGACUGUAAUUGGUACACAACAGCUCAAUCAGAAUGUCGCGUGUUCGAAUCACGCCCUGGAGA